This 35-nucleotide small RNA is filed under the name Propionibacterium ruminifibrarum. RNAcentral describes it as "Propionibacterium sp. JV5 CRISPR_Spacer". Lineage: Bacteria; Bacillati; Actinomycetota; Actinomycetes; Propionibacteriales; Propionibacteriaceae. The record is from RNAcentral.
AUCAGCUUGAGCAGCAUGCUCUUUAACUGAGUGCC